GCUGGGAUAGCUCAGUUGGUAGAGCAAUGGUAUCGUAAACCAUAGGUCGUGAGUUCGAUUCUCGCUCCCAGCUCUA
Molecule: transfer RNA, 76 nt
Filed under: Candidatus Campbellbacteria bacterium RIFCSPHIGHO2_12_FULL_35_10
Lineage: Bacteria; Candidatus Campbelliibacteriota
Also listed under: 1 other name
Description: tRNA-Thr
Rfam family: tRNA
About the family: Transfer RNA (tRNA) molecules are approximately 80 nucleotides in length.
Source: RNAcentral